UAUAAGUGCAGGUAGAGAUACGCUGUAUACUCAUGAAAUCGAAUUAACGUUUAAGCGAUAUGUAAUAUCGUCGAUCAUGAGGCCAUCUAUAUGGUGGUUUUUUUUUU
Molecule: small RNA, 107 nt
Filed under: uncultured Anaeroplasma sp.
Lineage: Bacteria; Bacillati; Mycoplasmatota; Mollicutes; Anaeroplasmatales; Anaeroplasmataceae
Description: DUF3800-I RNA
Rfam family: DUF3800-I RNA
About the family: Actinobacteria, Firmicutes, Fusobacteria, Proteobacteria (1 example), Tenericutes (2 examples). Terminator (Clostridia)
Source: RNAcentral